UGGGGUGUAGCCAAGCGGUAAGGCAUCGGGUUUUGAUCCCGACAUUCCUAGGUUCGAAUCCUAGCACCCCAGCCA
RNAcentral lists this transfer RNA (75 nucleotides) under Aquicella lusitana. RNAcentral describes it as "tRNA-Gln". It matches the Rfam family "tRNA". From Rfam's summary of the family: Transfer RNA (tRNA) molecules are approximately 80 nucleotides in length. Their secondary structure includes four short double-helical elements and three loops (D, anti-codon, and T loops). Further hydrogen bonds mediate the characteristic L-shaped molecular structure. tRNAs have two regions of fundamental functional importance: the anti-codon, which is responsible for specific mRNA codon recognition, and the 3' end, to which the tRNAs corresponding amino acid is attached (by aminoacyl-tRNA synthetases). tRNAs cope with the degeneracy of the genetic code in two manners: having more than one tRNA (with a specific anti-codon) for a particular amino acid; and 'wobble' base-pairing, i.e. permitting non-standard base-pairing at the 3rd anti-codon position. Lineage: Bacteria; Pseudomonadati; Pseudomonadota; Gammaproteobacteria; Legionellales; Coxiellaceae. RNAcentral also lists the same sequence under 2 other names. The record is from RNAcentral.